Molecule: ribosomal RNA, 947 nt
Filed under: Trichoderma viride
Lineage: Eukaryota; Fungi; Ascomycota; Sordariomycetes; Hypocreales; Hypocreaceae
Description: eukaryotic LSU rRNA
Rfam family: 5.8S ribosomal RNA (bases 181-334)
Source: RNAcentral
GNNUCGNNGNUNACUCAACCCAUGUGAACGUUACCAAACUGUUGCCUCGGCGGGGUCACGCCCCGGGUGCGUCGCAGCCCCGGAACCAGGCGCCCGCCGGAGGAACCAACCAAACUCUUUCUGUAGUCCCCUCGCGGACGUAUUUCUUACAGCUCUGAGCAAAAAUUCAAAAUGAAUCAAAACUUUCAACAACGGAUCUCUUGGUUCUGGCAUCGAUGAAGAACGCAGCGAAAUGCGAUAAGUAAUGUGAAUUGCAGAAUUCAGUGAAUCAUCGAAUCUUUGAACGCACAUUGCGCCCGCCAGUAUUCUGGCGGGCAUGCCUGUCCGAGCGUCAUUUCAACCCUCGAACCCCUCCGGGGGAUCGGCGUUGGGGAUCGGGACCCCUCACACGGGUGCCGGCCCCGAAAUACAGUGGCGGUCUCGCCGCAGCCUCUCCUGCGCAGUAGUUUGCACAACUCGCACCGGGAGCGCGGCGCGUCCACGUCCGUAAAACACCCAACUUUCUGAAAUGUUGACCUCGGAUCAGGUAGGAAUACCCGCUGAACUUAAGCAUAUCAAUAGCCCGGAGGAAACGGGGCUGGGGGAACACCUCCAAUCCAAAUUCUCACUUUCGAGUCUGCUCUGCAGGGCCGGAACUGCAGCUGGGAUCUCUGCAGAUCGGGGCCUAGUGCUGGACACACAGCACGGUGCCCCAGGAUUCACCAGCACUAAGGUUCACGAUGUGACAUGAUCUUCCGAUGGUACUCGGGAGGUGCCGGGGGAAUGUGGGGGUUGCAGGCAGCAACUCAAAAAGCGCGNNGUUGGGACUCUCUAGUAAUGCUCAGAUCAAUAAAUUGCGGUAACUACUUCUCUUGUCCUUGUACAGGAGCGCCCGACACACUUGGGAGGGGCUGCUCCUCCAAGGAAUUCUUUCAUCGUAAGACGCUGCUGGCACGUAGGCAACGACG